Molecule: non-coding RNA, 99 nt
Organism: Picea glauca (white spruce)
Lineage: Eukaryota; Viridiplantae; Streptophyta; Pinopsida; Pinales; Pinaceae
Source: Rfam
GACUCUCGGCAACGGAUAUCUCGGCUCUUGUCACGAUGAAGAGCGUAGCGAAAUGCGAUACUUAGUGUGAAUUGCAGAAUCCCGUGAAUCAUCGAGUUU